Molecule: transfer RNA, 72 nt
Filed under: Bos taurus (domestic cattle)
Lineage: Eukaryota; Metazoa; Chordata; Mammalia; Artiodactyla; Bovidae
Also listed under: 2 other names
Rfam family: tRNA
About the family: Transfer RNA (tRNA) molecules are approximately 80 nucleotides in length. Their secondary structure includes four short double-helical elements and three loops (D, anti-codon, and T loops).
Source: Rfam by way of RNAcentral
UCUCUAGUGGCUCAGAUGGUAAAGAAUCUGUCUGUAAUGCAGGAGACCCGGGUUCAAUCCCUGGAUUGGGAA